Molecule: long non-coding RNA, 1062 nt
Organism: Portunus trituberculatus (swimming crab)
Lineage: Eukaryota; Metazoa; Arthropoda; Malacostraca; Decapoda; Portunidae
Exons: 3
Source: RefSeq, a predicted model, not a curated record
GAGAGAUGGGGGGGAUAGGUGAACGUACUGCAUAUGAUUGAAAUGAGUUACGCUAAUAUGUAUGUGUAUGAUAAUAAAGACAUUGUAAGAGAGGGAGAGGGAGGUUAAGUGUGCGUGUGUGUUUGUCCAAGUAGCUUUAGAACAGGUGUGUCUGAGGACCGGAGGUGUGGCUGAUAACCUCCGGAAACUGAGGAGGAGGAGGAGGAGGAAGAAGGGGAAGCAGGUGGUAGUAGUGGAGGUGGUGGUGGUUGUGGUGGCCAUCUCUUAGGACUAAACUCUCAUCAUCUUACUCGCUUUGUUCUGUCAUCACUACUAUUUUCAAAGGCUACAAUGGUAAUAUACUGUUAGCAAGUCCCUUAUGUAUCUAUUUCUAAAUGCUGCACACUCUUAACUACAGUUUUCAAACGCAACAAAGAAAAUAAGGGGAUUUUCAGAAGUGUUUUUAUUCAUUGCUCUUUUAUCAGUAUUUUGAAGCGCUACAGAGACAAUGGCGUGGUUCUCGUAAGUGUUUUUGCGUACUGAUAAUGCAAUGCCUGGGUACACUACGACUAGAACCAGGAAAACACUUCAUUACAGCCAUCUCAACCCACUAUAGUUUGCGGUAAUGGCAUGUAUCUAUUUCUAAACACAUUGCUCUCUCAUCCCAGUACUUUGAAAAUGCUACAGACUCAUAGAGGUAAUUAAUUGUACAUAUUUUCAAGGGUAAACUAUAACUACAGCCAGAAAUCACCCCAUCACAACCAUCGCAAUCUCAGGAUGUGUAUCUAAUUCUAAACACAUUGCUCUCUCAUUCGCAGUACUUGGAAAUGCCAGAGAUGAUUAGUUGUACAGGUUUUCAAGAGUAAACUACAACUGCAACCAGAAAAUCACCCGUCACAACCAUCUCUCCCUCAAACAUAAAAGUAUGAUGAUGGUGAUGAUGAUGAUGGCAGUGAACUAUGCUGUAUCACUGUCUUUAAGUUUAGAGAGAGAGAUAGAAAGAUACAGAACAUGAAAGUGAACGGUAAGAUGAAAAUACCCGAUGACGUCACAUGAGUCAGGUGUUGCCCUCGUCUGGACCAG